AGGCUAUGAUGCGAGCACUUCCUCAAUAAGUCCUUGAAUCUCUCCCAAGCUUCAUACAAACUCUCUUGAUCAUGGUGAGCAAAAGUCAUUAUCUCAUUGCGAAGCUU
RNAcentral lists this small nucleolar RNA (107 nucleotides) under Jatropha curcas. Its description in RNAcentral is "Plant small nucleolar RNA R71". It matches the Rfam family "Plant small nucleolar RNA R71". From Rfam's summary of the family: R71 is a member of the C/D box family of snoRNAs containing the C (UGAUGA) and D (CUGA) box motifs. Lineage: Eukaryota; Viridiplantae; Streptophyta; Magnoliopsida; Malpighiales; Euphorbiaceae. The record is from Rfam by way of RNAcentral.